CUCCUGUUGACAACAGGUCAUGACCAAAUACCUCAUUAGGUUUUCCUCCUAUUACAAUAGAUCAUGACCAAAAGGUUCCAUGAGGACUGGGUUGGGGAACACUGCCUAAGACUGUGCAUCCUGUUGACAAUAGAUGAUGACCAAAGCCCUCAUUAGACCUUGGCUCCUGUCAACAAUAGGCCAUGACCCAUCCCCACACUAGGC
This is a non-coding RNA of Pelobates cultripes (western spadefoot toad), 204 nucleotides long. NCBI's taxonomy places the organism in Eukaryota, Metazoa, Chordata, Amphibia, Anura, Pelobatidae. The record is from the annotation of a GenBank genome assembly.